RNAcentral lists this transfer RNA (60 nucleotides) under Corynebacterium xerosis. It matches the Rfam family "tRNA", at positions 8 to 63 of the family's 71-position model. Rfam says of the family: Transfer RNA (tRNA) molecules are approximately 80 nucleotides in length. Their secondary structure includes four short double-helical elements and three loops (D, anti-codon, and T loops). Lineage: Bacteria; Bacillati; Actinomycetota; Actinomycetes; Mycobacteriales; Corynebacteriaceae. The record is from RNAcentral.
UCUAGCUCAGUUGGUAGAGCUGUGGACUUUUAAUCCAUAGGUCGUGGGUUCGAGCCCCAC